RNAcentral lists this ribosomal RNA (253 nucleotides) under uncultured bacterium. RNAcentral's name for it is "partial 16S ribosomal RNA". It matches the Rfam family "Bacterial small subunit ribosomal RNA", at positions 524 to 776 of the family's 1533-position model. The record is from RNAcentral.
UACAGAGGUGGCAAGCGUUGUUCGGAAUUACUGGGCGUAAAGCGCGUGUAGGCGGCUCUUCAAGUCAGGCGUGAAAGCCCCGGGCUCAACUCGGGAACUGCGCUUGAUACUGUCGAGCUAGAGUGUGGAAGGGGCGAUUGGAAUUCCGUGUGUAGCGGUGAGAUGCGUAGAUAUACGGAGGAACACCGGUGGCGAAGGCAAUCCCCUGGGCCUGCACUGACGCUCAUGCACGAAAGCGUGGGGAGCAAACAGG